RNAcentral lists this long non-coding RNA (1088 nucleotides) under Sus scrofa (pig). RNAcentral describes it as "lncRNA (ENSSSCG00065050011.1)". The record is from RNAcentral. Lineage: Eukaryota; Metazoa; Chordata; Mammalia; Artiodactyla; Suidae.
GCCAGCCAGUCCCCAGGCCCCAGGGCCAGCACACAUUUGCGGGGCCGCUUUAAAUGGCAGAGUCAAUGUCAAAUCCACAGAGAAGUCAUAACGUGGGACCGGAAUGAAAAAUGGGGGUUAAAAAUUCAGAGCCAUGCCUUUAGUUCAUCCUUUGACCUGAGCAGUUAACAUUCAUUUCUUUCCUAAGCAGGUGAUUUGAAUGCAGCGCGUUGGAAGACUUUGUUUUCAGUCUCUGUGGUUCCUUUCACACAGGUUUUUUGUUUGUUUGUUUUCUUUUUCCUUUUUUUUUUUUUUUUUUUCCUCUCCCCACUAAGGGCUUCAAGAGGCACGGCUUUGAGAAAACGGUCCUCCCUCUGGGACUCAUCUCAGCCGAAGUCAUCAGGAAUGGCCUCCGGGACGGGACGGCAGCAGGAAUUCAGUGGAGGCGCUCUCUGCUGUGGACCUGGUUCUCUUCCAUCACAGCACUGACCUUGAACGGCCGGCCACCUGUGACCCCCCAUCUCCUGCUCUGAAUCCCGCCUUCACCCCACGGGAGCCGGCAGAGCGUCUGCACCUGCCAGCUACUCAGCGCACCUUUGGAACUCAGCUGGAAUUUGGGGUCACUCUUCGGGAUCAUGGAUCAACCACGGAGCUGGUUAUUGCUGCGAUGAGAACAGCGGCUGCUGCUGCUGUGUCCCCAGAGUGAGUUUCAUGUAACUCUGCAACAUUGAUGCACUGAGGAAGACAAGGAAAAGUCCUGAGGAGGCUCAGAGCUGGCGCAAGCUCCGUGUGUGUGUGUGUGAGCGUGGGUGAGGAGGAGGCACAUCUCGAACCAUGUCCUAGAGGUCAGCCUACCUGCAAGUGACAGUGAGGACCACGUGAGGCACGCUUUGCACUGAAAAAGGUACCCCCCACCCCCCUUCCCCAUUUUGUCUGGUGCUUCCUCCGAAGGAUUAGUGGUGACCAAAAGGGCAGUGGGGGGCUCUUGAGGAGCCUUUCCAUCUGGCAGUGCUGGAAAUGGAGUGUAUGAAAUGGUUUCUGCCGAGAGUUCCUCGGGGAUGUGGGCACCCCAACCACACCCUCAGGGCAUCGCCAGCCCCGGGGUGCUU